Molecule: ribosomal RNA, 495 nt
Filed under: uncultured bacterium
Lineage: Bacteria
Description: partial 16S ribosomal RNA
Rfam family: Bacterial small subunit ribosomal RNA
Source: RNAcentral
UGAACGCUGGCGGCGUGCCUAAUACAUGCAAGUCGAGCGAACAGAUGAGGAGCUUGCUCCUCUGACGUUAGCGGCGGACGGGUGAGUAACACGAGGAUAACCUACCUAUAAGACUGGGAUAACUUCGGGAAACCGGAGCUAAUACCGGAUAAUAUAUUGAACCGCAUGGUUCAAUAGUGAAAGACGGAUUUGCUGUCACUUAUAGAUGGAUCCGCGCCGCAUUAGCUAGUUGGUAAGGUAACGGCUUACCAAGGCAACGAUGCGUAGCCGACCUGAGAGGGUGAUCGGCCACACUGGAACUGAGACACGGUCCAGACUCCUACGGUAGGCAGCAGUAGGGAAUCUUCCGCAAUGGGCGAAAGCCUGACGGAGCAACGCCGCGUGAGUGAUGAAGGUCUUCGGAUCGUAAAACUCUGUUAUUAGGGAAGAACAAAUGUGUAAGUAACUAUGCACGUCUUGACGGUACCUAAUCAGAAAGCCACGGCUAACUACGUG